GAUGAACGCUGGCGGCGUGCCUAAUACAUGCAAGUCGAGCGAACAGACGAGGAGCUUGCUCCUCUGACGUUAGCGGCGGACGGGUGAGUAACACGUGGAUAACCUACCUAUAAGACUGGGAUAACUUCGGGAAACCGGAGCUAAUACCGGAUAAUAUAUUGAACCGCAUGGUUCAAUAGUGAAAGACGGUUUUGCUGUCACUUAUAGAUGGAUCCGCGCCGCAUUAGCUAGUUGGUAAGGUAACGGCUUACCAAGGCGACGAUGCGUAGCCGACCUGAGAGGGUGAUCGGCAACACUGGAACUGAGACACGGUCCAGACUCCUACGGGAGGCAGCAGUAGGGAAUCUUCCGCAAUGGGCGAAAGCCUGACGGAGCAACGCCGCGUGAGUGAUGAAGGUCUUCGGAUCGUAAAACUCUGUUAUUAGGGAAGAACAAAUGUGUAAGUAACUAUGCACGUCUUGACGGUACCUAAGCAGAAAGCCACGGCUAACUACGU
RNAcentral lists this ribosomal RNA (496 nucleotides) under uncultured bacterium. RNAcentral's name for it is "partial 16S ribosomal RNA". It matches the Rfam family "Bacterial small subunit ribosomal RNA", at positions 28 to 506 of the family's 1533-position model. The record is from RNAcentral.